RNAcentral lists this ribosomal RNA (465 nucleotides) under uncultured bacterium. RNAcentral's name for it is "partial 16S ribosomal RNA". It matches the Rfam family "Bacterial small subunit ribosomal RNA", at positions 28 to 507 of the family's 1533-position model. The record is from RNAcentral.
GACGAACGCUGGCGGCGUGCUUAACACAUGCAAGUCGAACGGAAAGGCCCUGCUUGCAGGGUACUCGAGUGGCGAACGGGUGAGUAACACGUGGGUGAUCUGCCCUGCACUUCGGGAUAAGCCUGGGAAACUGGGUCUAAUACCGGAUAGGAGCCAUUUUUAGUGUGAUGGUUGGAAAGUUUUUUCGGUGUAGGAUGAGCUCGCGGCCUAUCAGCUUGUUGGUGGGGUAAUGGCCUACCAAGGCGGCGACGGGUAGCCGGCCUGAGAGGGUGGACGGCCACAUUGGGACUGAGGUACGGCCCAGACUCCUACGGGAGGGAGCAGUGGGGAAUAUUGCACAAUGGGCGCAAGCCUGAUGCAGCGACGCCGCGGGGGGGAUGACGGCCUUCGGGUUGUAAACUCCUUACGCUAGGGACGAAGCUUUUUGUGACGGUACCUAGAGAAGAAGCACCGGCUAACUACGUG